GUGGAAAGAGGGGCGGUGAGGCGGGGGAAAACGGUGGUGGGAAGCGGGAUCCGGAGGUGUUAGGCGUAAAGCGAGGGCAGGCGGUUGUUUAAGGCUGAUGAGAAAGCCCUCGGCGUAACCGAGGAAGUGCAUCGGAAACUGGAAAACGGGGGGGCAGAAGAGGACAGGGGAACUCCAGGUGUAGCGGUGAAAGGCGUAGAGAUAGGGAAGAACACCAGGGGCGAAGGCGGCUGUCUGGUCGGUAACUGACGCUGAGGCUCGAAAGCAUGGGUAGCGAACAGGAUUAGAUACCCCGUAGUC
This 300-nucleotide ribosomal RNA is filed under the name uncultured Lactobacillus sp. RNAcentral's name for it is "bacterial SSU rRNA". The stretch from base 60 to 300 matches the Rfam family "Bacterial small subunit ribosomal RNA", at positions 554 to 795 of the family's 1533-position model. The record is from RNAcentral. Lineage: Bacteria; Bacillati; Bacillota; Bacilli; Lactobacillales; Lactobacillaceae.